RNAcentral lists this transfer RNA (76 nucleotides) under Chloroflexi bacterium CFX4. RNAcentral describes it as "tRNA-Arg". It matches the Rfam family "tRNA". From Rfam's summary of the family: Transfer RNA (tRNA) molecules are approximately 80 nucleotides in length. Their secondary structure includes four short double-helical elements and three loops (D, anti-codon, and T loops). Further hydrogen bonds mediate the characteristic L-shaped molecular structure. tRNAs have two regions of fundamental functional importance: the anti-codon, which is responsible for specific mRNA codon recognition, and the 3' end, to which the tRNAs corresponding amino acid is attached (by aminoacyl-tRNA synthetases). tRNAs cope with the degeneracy of the genetic code in two manners: having more than one tRNA (with a specific anti-codon) for a particular amino acid; and 'wobble' base-pairing, i.e. permitting non-standard base-pairing at the 3rd anti-codon position. RNAcentral also lists the same sequence under 1 other name. The record is from RNAcentral. Lineage: Bacteria; Bacillati; Chloroflexota.
GCUCCCGUAGCUCAGGGGAUAGAGCGCAAGUCUUCGGAACUUGGCGUCGGGGGUUCGAAUCCCUCCGGGAGCAUCA